GUUUAGCUUCUGGUCCUCUUGUGAAUGGAUAGAAAUGCUUUUUAGCCAUUGUAAUUCAAGAAUCCUCAGUCAAGAAGGAGACGGUGCCUCUAGAAAUAAGAUUAACAGCUAGUGAGCUUCACAAGAGGGCUUGAGGAUUGAUUAAUACACUGGGACUGCUCGAUAGCAUAGAAGUGCUACAUAUCAGCUUACCCAGGGACCUGCCAAUGCUGCAUGAGAUUAGAGCGUGAGCCUGUGAUCCUCAGAUAUACAAUCUUUCUUGAAGUGUUACAUGCUAGACCUUGUAAUAGAGUAAUUGCAGAUGAAGAUGUAUGGAGGACUAGUGACACAGGAUCCUUCUCUGGCUUCCAACUGCUGUGAUCAGCUGACCCCAGGGAGACAGGGAGUUUCCAUCCUGACCAUAGGAACUCCAGCUCUACUAGAUUUUGAUGCUGGCCGUGUCAUGACACUACUUUCUCCAGAGGAUUAAUUUAAGUCCAGUAAAGCAGAAAGGAAUCCCCUUGAAAGUGAUGAAGUGAACAAGAAGUGAAAUUGAUUUAUGCAAAUCCUGAGUUACUCAUCCAGCAAGCAGCCAUGUGAGGCAGGCAAAUCUUUGGACACACAGCCACUGUGCAGAUUAUACUAAAAAUUGGCAGCUGGUGAAUUAGGUUGCUAAAGACAGCAUUAAUCUGUUGGUGAUGUAAGUAUUCCCAGCUAAGAGUGUUGUGUCAGUAAACUUAAUCUGUAAUUA
Long non-coding RNA from Cyanistes caeruleus (blue tit), 730 nucleotides. RefSeq lists it as uncharacterized. Lineage: Eukaryota; Metazoa; Chordata; Aves; Passeriformes; Paridae. The record is from RefSeq and is a predicted model, not a curated record.